GAAGUUGUAGCUCAGCUGGAUAGAGCAUCAGAUUGCGGAUCUGAAGGUCUCACGUUCGAAUCGUGUCAGCUUCA
This 74-nucleotide transfer RNA is filed under the name Treponema sp. RNAcentral describes it as "tRNA-Arg". It matches the Rfam family "tRNA". Rfam says of the family: Transfer RNA (tRNA) molecules are approximately 80 nucleotides in length. Their secondary structure includes four short double-helical elements and three loops (D, anti-codon, and T loops). Further hydrogen bonds mediate the characteristic L-shaped molecular structure. tRNAs have two regions of fundamental functional importance: the anti-codon, which is responsible for specific mRNA codon recognition, and the 3' end, to which the tRNAs corresponding amino acid is attached (by aminoacyl-tRNA synthetases). tRNAs cope with the degeneracy of the genetic code in two manners: having more than one tRNA (with a specific anti-codon) for a particular amino acid; and 'wobble' base-pairing, i.e. permitting non-standard base-pairing at the 3rd anti-codon position. Lineage: Bacteria; Pseudomonadati; Spirochaetota; Spirochaetia; Treponematales; Treponemataceae. The record is from RNAcentral.